Molecule: long non-coding RNA, 695 nt
Filed under: Musa acuminata (dwarf banana)
Lineage: Eukaryota; Viridiplantae; Streptophyta; Magnoliopsida; Zingiberales; Musaceae
Description: long non-coding RNA (MACU_LNC002866)
Source: RNAcentral
ACAAAACUACGUUCAGCUGCAAUAGUCUAGACUCUAGAGCCUGUAGGAUUUGGAUAAGAGUCACUACAUAAAUUCCUAAGGAAUUUAGAAGUUCACCAAGACUUGGACCAACAAGGAGCAGCUAUAGAAAAGAAACUUCUUAUUUUUUUUAUUUUUAUAAUUUUUCUACAUAAGCUAUUCUUUAAUUUAGUUGAUAUAUCAGGGAGUCCCUAGAGUUCGGUCUUGGAUUCAAUUGAUUUGCAAGAGCCAUAAAAUGUUACUGGCAUUUGGAUUGUGCUCUAGAAAGUAAUAGUGAUCUUGUUUAGUGUAAUUUUCGUUGGAUGCAUAUAUUGUCCUUGCUAUGCAAUAGAAUUAAUUGCAUUAUAUCUUAGUUUACGUUAGUUUGUCCCUUAGUUGAUAGUUUGGAGGUUUUUCUCUCCCUCGAAGUAAAGAAGCCUCCUUUUUGAGAGGAUUCAUAUACCAACAAUCUUAAUCUUACAAUAAAUCAACUUUUAUUAAGGAAAAAGAAACCUAUUACAUUAACGCAAUAUUUCACUGCCAGGUUGCUGUCACACAGCAAAACCCGACACUCAAAGAAAGCUCAAGAGGUCUCAAAUCUUGGAAUCAAACAGCACUUCAAAGAAAGCUCAACAGGUCUCAAAUCUUGGAAUCAAACAGCACUACCAAUUCAUGCAGUAGAAAAGCUACAUAAGAAA